GGAAGUUUAAGGCGACUGACUCUCCUCUUCCGACUGUUCCAGGUUAUGAUGUGGCUGGUGUUGUAGUUAAGGUGGGCAGCCAAGUGAAGAAUCUAAAGGAAGGAGAUGAAGUAUAUGGGGACAUAAGUGAGAAAGCUUUAGAGUUUCCUAAACAGUUUGGAUCUCUUGCUGAAUAUACAGCUGUGGAGGAAAAACUGUUGGCCAUUAAACCCAAGAAUCUGGAUUUCGUACAAGCUGCUGGGCUGCCUCUUGCCAUUGAAACAGCCGAUGAAGGCUUGGAGAGGGCUGAGUUUUCAGCUGGUAAAUCAAUCCUUGUUUUGGGUGGUGCUGGUGGAGUAGGAUCCCUAGUUAUCCAGCUAGCAAAGCAGGUCUAUGGUGCAUCCAAAGUUGCCGCGACUGCCAGCACUGGAAAAUUG
Molecule: unclassified non-coding RNA, 416 nt
Filed under: Hevea brasiliensis (rubber tree)
Lineage: Eukaryota; Viridiplantae; Streptophyta; Magnoliopsida; Malpighiales; Euphorbiaceae
Source: RNAcentral